AAUGUCUAGAAGGAAAGUUCACAAAUGUAUAAAAAAAGAAACACACACACGUCCACACAGCCUGUAUUGUGUCGGCGUCAAGCUGAUCAGCUGCUAUAAAUAACUUGGCUCAGGAGGUUGUCGUGGCAACCAACAAACCAGGGUGGGAGCGCUCAUCUCCUUGAAGAGAAAAGCACAUUGAAUGGAGGGACAAGCGGCGACAAAGGAAAGAUGUAAAGGAGAAGAGGAAGGACAGGGCAGCAGAGGGAGGUCGGAAAGGAUGAAUCGGUCCCUGGAGAUGGAAAAGAGUCAAUGUUCAAGAGAGAUAGUGGAGAGAUGAUGAAGAAGACGGUGACGGAUGAGAGGAGAAAGGAAGAUAGAUAGGUAGAGAGUGGUGAUGAAAUGCAAGUACACUUCAAGGAAUAAAAAGAGGAGUCUGGAGAAGAGAAAGGAGUGGAGUAAGAAAGAGGAUUGGAAGAAGAUCAAGGACGAAUGAGAACUAGAAGAUGAGAUGAGAGGACGCAAGAGGAGAAGAUAGGAAAUAAGAAGAGUGUUAUAGGAUGAGAAGAAAAUAUGGAGGGGAGUUGAGACUCCUGCGACUACUCGCCAUCCCUCAGCUUCUCUCCUGUAUCUCUCCGCUUCUCCGUCUCAAUACUCGUCGGCGUAUGUGUAGACCGUGGAAGGGGGAUUUCCCCAGAGAAAUCCAACAAGAGUGAAGCCGUCCAGAGUGUUGUCCUAAAGAAGAUAUCUUCUUUUCUUACAACACAAGACACAAAAUCACAUUGAAAGUUUUUGCUUCAGAUCCGUGUUAGUGCACAGUAUAUUUAACUUUUCAAACAGUUCCUACAGAAUUGGAGUAUGGGGGCAGAAUGCUAUUAAAUCUGACAUUUCAAAAGUCUGGUUGUUACACUUGAACUACAUCCCAAACUAUGGGAUGGAUUUCAUCAAAGCGGCAACAUCUGAAAAGUUCCUUAAACUUGCAUUCUUUCCAACGGCCAGCAGACGGCCACUCCAGUGUUUGCAAAAAGAAGUCUGAUUGUAUAGGAGUCUAUGAGAAAAUUAUCCUACUUCCUACUUGAUUCAUUACUUCAAUAAAACAUGUUCUCAAUUG
This 1090-nucleotide long non-coding RNA is filed under the name Cottoperca gobio. RNAcentral's name for it is "lncRNA (ENSCGOG00000011079.1)". The record is from RNAcentral. Lineage: Eukaryota; Metazoa; Chordata; Actinopteri; Perciformes; Bovichtidae.